Molecule: long non-coding RNA, 1327 nt
Filed under: Equus caballus (horse)
Lineage: Eukaryota; Metazoa; Chordata; Mammalia; Perissodactyla; Equidae
Description: lncRNA (ENSECAG00000049031.1)
Source: RNAcentral
CUAUAAGUGGGUAUGUUUCAUUUUAAGUUUUUUAUUUUUUGAUUCUUGCUGACAUAUAAAACUCACUUGCAUUUUGUAUUUUGACCUUGUACUAUAUUCAGCAACCUUGCUAAAAGUCAAUUACUCAAUCUAGUAAUUUAGUGGUAAAUUCUUUUGGAUUUUCUACAUAUUCAUCUGUGCAAAAUAACAUUUUUAUUCUGUCACAAUUCUUAUACUUUUAAUUUUUUCUUGAUGUAGUACACUGCCUAGGACCGCCCAUAUGAAGCUGAAUAGCGGUGAUGAUAAUGCACAUUCUUGUCUUCUUUGUCAUUACAGAGGGACAGUUUUCAACAUUUCACCAUAAAGUAUGAUACUUGCUAUAGGUGUCGUAUAUAAGAUAUCAAUGCCUAACUCAAGGUCACAAAGAAUUACUCCUCUGUUUUCUUCUAAGAGGUUUAUAGUUUUAGCUCUUACAUUUAUGUCUAUGAUGCACUGUGAGUUAAUUUUUGUGUAUGAUGUAAGGAAAAGAUGUAAAUUCAUUCUUUGGCAUGUGAAUAUCCAGUUGUUUCAGCAACAUUUGUUGAAAAGAGUAUUCUUUCCCCAUUGAAUCAUCUUAGCAUUAUUGUCAAAAAUCAGUUAGCUGUAAAUGUGAGAGUUUGUUUCUGUGUUAUCAAUUCUACUCCCUUAAUAUACAUGUCUGUCCUGUGCCAGUACCACAGUAUCUUGAUUUCUGUAACUUCACAGUAACUUUUGAAAUUGGGAAAUGUGAGUCCUCCAUCUUUGUUCUUUUUCAAGACUGCUUUGGCCACUGUGGGUAUUUCCAUAUGAAUUUUAGAAUCAGCUUGUCAGUUGCUGCAAAAAAAACAAAGUGAGCUGGGUUUCUGAUCAGCAUUGCAUUAAAUCUAUAAAUCAAUUUGGGAAGUAUUGCCAUAUUAACAAUAUUAGUUCUUCUGAUCUGUGAUCCUGGGAUAUCUUUCUAUUUACUUAGGUCUUCUUUAAUUUCCUUCAACAGUGUUUUGCAGUUUUCAGUGUACCAGUCUUAUGUUUCUUUUGUUAAAUUUAUUUCUAUGUAUUUUAUUAUUUUUAAUGCUACUGUAAAUGGGAUUGUUUUCCUUUUUUUUAAAAGAUUGGCACCUGAGCUAACAACUGAUGCCAAUUUUUUUUUCUGCUUUUUCUCCCUGAAUCCCCCCAGUACAUAGUUGCAUAUUUUAGUUGUUGGUCCUUCUAACUGUGGCAUGUGGGACUCUGCGUCAGCAUGGCCCGAUGAGCAGUGUCAUGUCUGCACCCAGGAUCCAACCCGGUGAAACCCUGGGCCGCCGAAGCGGAGCACGUGAACUUAACCACUCGG